Molecule: ribosomal RNA, 887 nt
Filed under: uncultured bacterium
Lineage: Bacteria
Description: bacterial SSU rRNA
Rfam family: Bacterial small subunit ribosomal RNA
Source: RNAcentral
AGCCGCCGCGGUAAUACGAAGGGACCUAGCGUAGUUCGGAAUUACUGGGCUUAAAGAGCACGUAGGUGGUUAAGAAAGUUGGUGGUGAAAUCCCAAGGCUUAACCUUGGAACUGCCACCAAAACUUUUUAACUAGAGUAUGAUUGAGGUAAGCGGAAUUUCUAGUGUAGAGGUGAAAUUCGUAGAUAUUAGAAAGAACACCAAUUGCGAAGGCAGCUUUCUGGAUCAUUACUGACACUGAGGUGCGAAAGCAUGGGUAGCGAAGAGGAUUAGAUACCCUCGUAGUCCAUGCCGUAAACGAUGUGUGCUAGACGUUGGGAAUUUAUUUUUCAGUGUCGCAGCAAAAGCGUUAAGCACACCGCCUGGGGAGUACGACCGCAAGGUUAAAACUCAAAUGAAUUGACGGGGACCCGCACAAGUAGUGGAGCAUGUGGUUUAAUUCGAAGAUACGCGCAGAACCUUACCAACACUUGACAUGUUCGUCGCAACUCUAAGAGAUUAGAGUUUUCGGUUCGGCCGGACGAAACACAGGUGCUGCAUGGCUGUCGUCAGCUCGUGUCGUGAGAUGUUGGGUUAAGUCCCGCAACGAGCGCAACCCUUACUUUUAGUUGCUACCAUUUAGUUGGGCACUCUAAAAGAACUGCCAGUGAUAAGCUGGAGGAAGGUGGGGAUGACGUCAAGUCCUCAUGGCCCUUAUGUGUUGGGCUACACACGUGCUACAAUGGUAUUUACAGUGGGAUGCAAAGAGGCAACUCCAAGCCAACCCUUAAAGAAUACCUCAGUUCGGAUUGUACUCUGCAACUCGAGUACAUGAAGCUGGAAUUACUAGUAAUCGCGGAUCAGCGCGCCGCGGUGAAUACGUUCCCGGGUCUUGCACACACCGCCCGU